GGGGCCGAAAGGUUUCGACAGUGUGCGUAAUAAAUACGUAAGCAUGCCGGGUGCUGUGAGAACGACCCGUAAAUCCCGAUUCACAACUCGCUUAAAUGGCGAAACAAACUACGCGCUUGCGGCUUAAUUCUUCCAAGAAGAAUUGCCUGAUGCUGCCACCAGGUGGUAGCACAAGCUGUCCUACGCAGACUUAAGUUCAUAGCGUUUGCGAAAAGGGCAUCACAGAUAUGAACUGGCUGCUGUUGUGCUCUGCAACAUCAGUGAGAAAACAAGGGCUAAGGAUAGAACUGACAGGCAGGUAGUCUUGUUUUAUCCCUACAAUUAAAUAUCUGCUAGAUGUAGAAAGUGUAUGGAUUCCAUAUCUGGACGUGAGUUCAAAUCUCACCGGCUCCACUU
RNAcentral lists this transfer-messenger RNA (396 nucleotides) under Bacteroidia. RNAcentral's name for it is "OLB10 sp016699635 Standard tmRNA". It matches the Rfam family "transfer-messenger RNA". Rfam says of the family: Bacterial tmRNA, also known as 10Sa RNA or SsrA, is named for its dual tRNA and mRNA-like properties. Its role is to liberate the mRNA from a stalled ribosome. To accomplish this part of the tmRNA is used as a reading frame that ends in a translation stop signal. RNAcentral also lists the same sequence under 1 other name. The record is from RNAcentral. Lineage: Bacteria; Pseudomonadati; Bacteroidota.